Molecule: non-coding RNA, 32 nt
Filed under: Homo sapiens (human)
Lineage: Eukaryota; Metazoa; Chordata; Mammalia; Primates; Hominidae
Source: RNAcentral
GGGAAUAAGACAGGCAGCCAGUCAGACUCCGU